Long non-coding RNA from Hypanus sabinus (Atlantic stingray), 261 nucleotides. RefSeq lists it as uncharacterized. The transcript is spliced from 3 exons. Lineage: Eukaryota; Metazoa; Chordata; Chondrichthyes; Myliobatiformes; Dasyatidae. The record is from RefSeq and is a predicted model, not a curated record.
GGAAUUCAGAGCAAUCGCGUUCACUGCGUCCCUCAAAUGGGAUAUCCAGUAAUCUGGCGGAUAGAAGACAUUUACCACCCUGUUAUUUCAGCCGUUGGAAUUCCCGUUCCGUCUCACUGAUGUCUGUCCUGCCGCCGAUCAGCGUUACACAACAAAGGUGAUUCUCCUCGCCCGGAGUUGACGGAAGUAAGAGUCGACACCACAGAUGUCUUUUCGAGAGCAGAAUAGAUUUAUGCACCUCGCGCCAGAUCUUUGUCUUGC